AUUAUCUCCAAGAGUGAAUGCAGGUAAUUCUUCAAAUGGGAUCUCUGAUUAUUUUAUCGCAAUUGUUCUCCACAAAAAGGAGGGCAGAUGGUCAAUGGAGCUGUGUUGCCUUUUUGCUCCAUCCACCUUAUCCAUCUUGUUCCUCUUGGAGCAAUUUUCUGGGGGAGGGAAGACAGCAACCAAUAGUCAAUUGAUUCUUGUAAUGAUGUGCUCUUCUCUCAUCCGUGUAUCAACUGUCAGAUGAUUUGAAUCAGUAUGCUGAUGAUCUGUGAGGUACAAUGGUAAAUAGCAUGUUAGAGUUCUGAUGGCAGUUGUUGAUAAUGAAAAAAAAUGUCCAUCCUAAUACUUUGAAAUAACCACAUGUUCCUCUUUCCCAGGGUUUCCUGAUAACGACAAAUUUUUCCAUUUUAUGGUAAGUUGCUUCUACUAAUAGCUAUUGUAAAUUAUGUAAAUAAGAGCAUAUUACUGGGCUGGGGAUGUGGCUCAAGCGGUAGCACACUCACCUGGCAUGCGUGCGGCCCGGUUCAAUCCUCAGCACCACAUACAAAGAAAGAUGUUGUGUCUGCCAAAAACUAAAAUAAAUAUUUUUUUAAAAAGAGCAUGUUAUCAUUUGUAGGGUGGCUUUACCAUCAUGGUAUUGGUUAAAGACUAUAGUGCCAGUAAGAACAAACAUCUUGUCUUAACUCCCUGCUCUAGCCCCAGAACGAGUAAUGGUGAACCCACUGGUGUAGCUGGGAGAGAGGAAGGAAACUUGGUUCCAUGAGGAACUACAUGAGGUCCAGCAAAUGGCAAUAAAUAGCCUUUGCUUUGCUUGUCAUUAAUAGUAGCUGGAUAUUUUGAGUACUUUGCUAAUUUAGUGUGUUUUUCUGAUUCAUUCAGGAGCAACUCAUUUCCAUAUACUGAUGAAAAUACUCCAGCAUUAGCAGGUUAGUAGGAUUUUUUCCCUAAUUCAUGGCUUAUGCCACCAAGUUUCUAUGAUGACCCAAACUAGCUCACUAUGAUUGACAAUGAAAAUAUAUGAACACCUGAGAAACUGAAGGAUAGAGAAGUGGGGCAAUAUCCUGAUAUGCCACAUAUACAUAGUAUUUUACCUGUUUUUAAAUUUUUCAGGUGCUGUUACCAAUGUCUACUUACUGGUUCAAAGGUGAGUAAUUUCAGUAUGUGUUAAGUAUAUAUAGCAUAUUGGGUAGGAAAAAGUGCCUUUUAGGCAAAUAUACAUGAUGACUUAUGGAAUCUCGUUCGGCUGAUGUUUUGCUGUUGAGACUCGGAAAUCUGAUUUCCUAGAAAUAAUAGGUGGGGAUAACUGAGGCAGGACAUAAGCAUUACUCAUUUGAUCUUGUUUGUUUCAGGUCUAGCAUCUUGUCUGGAUUCCAAGAAUGAUUUGAGGUACAUACCUUUGCAAUAUUUAUGCCUAUCAUGUAGCAUCAACUUUAUGGUCUGUGGUGGUACUUUGGUCUGAGUAGCCAUAUUUGGAUCACCAGUGGUGAAUUCCUGCUCACCAGUGAUGAGUUGAAUACCGCCCCAGUCUGAUCAUUGUGACAGAAAGGUACACUCUGAGUUGUGAGCUCAUCUUAACAGUAAGCAAUAAGAAGAUGGAUAGGCUUUAUAGCCAAUAACUUUCUAGGACUAGGUUUCUAUGAAGUGUGCUUUUCCUUUAAGCAAUAAAGAGAUGACUUAAUUCCUAAUCUCUUUCCAUUACAGAGAAAGCAAGUCAUAUCUGCCUAACUUCAACCUGAAGUUAAAGGUGAGUGGACUAAGGUGAAGGUAAAGUACAGUAAGCUAAAAAUUUCCCAAUGAAGAAGCAUUUCACACGUCUUACUUCCUGUCCUAGUCCCAGAGCCUGUAAAGGUGAACCCACUGGGGCUGGCUGGGGGAGAAGAGGAAAGCUUGUUCCAGAAGGAACUGUCUGAGGGAUGAUCAGAAUUUCUGUAAAUGGAAAAUGGAAGAAGAAUCAGUUUGAAAUAAGUUGUCUUUUUUUUUUUUUCUUCCAGCCCCCAAGUCUGAGGAAAGACAAGAUGAAGAUAAAUGGUAGGCUCAUUUUCAAUUUAGUUUGUAAUAGAAUAAAUCCAGAGUACCUAGAAUCAGCCCUUUAAUGUUUGGUUUAAAACCUUGCCCCUUGUAAAUUCAAAGGGUGUGUGCAUUAUGUACAUUUUUAUUUUCCCAUCCAAUAAAGAUUCAUCUUUCCUCAGCAGGCAUCCAUCCAAGUCUUGGAGGACAUCAGAUUUCCAGAUCUUUCCUUGUGCAUCCUAGCUGUUCAAGUUAACACACAAUCAUUUUGAUCUUCCUAAUAAAGCUCUUUUUCUUAA
Molecule: long non-coding RNA, 2306 nt
Filed under: Marmota monax (woodchuck)
Lineage: Eukaryota; Metazoa; Chordata; Mammalia; Rodentia; Sciuridae
Source: RNAcentral